GACGAACGCUGGCGGCGUGCUUAACACAUGCAAGUCGAACGAUGAAGCCUUCGGGUGGAUUAGUGGCGAACGGGUGAGUAACACGUGGGCAAUCUGCCCUGUACUUUGGGAUAAGCCUUGGAAACGGGGUCUAAUACCGGAUAUCACUUCUGACCGCAUGGUUGGUUGUUGAAAGUUCUGGCGGUACAGGAUGAGCCCGCGGCCUAUCAGCUUGUUGGUGGGGUAAUGGCCUACCAAGGCGACGACGGGUAGCCGGCCUGAGAGGGUGACCGGCCACACUGGGACUGAGACACGGCCCAGACUCCUACGGGAGGCAGCAGUGGGGAAUAUUGCACAAUGGGCGAAAGCCUGAUGCAGCGACGCCGCGUGAGGGAUGACGGCCUGGUGU
This 388-nucleotide ribosomal RNA is filed under the name uncultured bacterium. Its description in RNAcentral is "bacterial SSU rRNA". It matches the Rfam family "Bacterial small subunit ribosomal RNA", at positions 28 to 422 of the family's 1533-position model. The record is from RNAcentral.